AUGCGGGUUGGAGAAGCAGGCUCUGUGUGGGAAGGAGCUCUGGAAACUAGAGAAGCUCUCAUUUUGUAUCGGAGUGCCUGUGCUGAGCAAGCAGUGUGCUGGGCGCGCUACUCUUCCACAGGCCAGCCAGCUUGGAGGGAGGUGAUCUGGCUGGGGAUGGCGGCUGGUCUUACGGGUCCUCUACAGGGAGAAGGAAGAAAAGGGGGCCUGUUUCUUUCUGUGCUUUAUAAUAAGGGAACCUGGGAAGCACACUUGAGUUCACAGCUGGCCUGUGGUUUUUACAUCUCGUCAGGGACCACUCUCUUCACACCCUUAUCUUCACUCCUCCCCAUACAGACUGCAUCCAGCGCUAGCCUACCAUGUGGUGAUGAAGGAGCCUCCCUCCCGCCUACUCACCUUAAAGAGACACUGUUGAGCAUCUGUAAAAAAAGAAUUAGUUUCUUUAAAAAUGGAAGAAGUUACAAGCCAUUAAAGGUGCUGAGCAGACGGGAAAACAAAAGGUGGCAUUUUUCUGAAGUUGCUCAUUGAGACUUCUCAGCAUUUCUACAGAUAUAAUAG
RNAcentral lists this long non-coding RNA (558 nucleotides) under Ovis aries (sheep). RNAcentral describes it as "lncRNA (ENSOARG00000026689.1)". The record is from RNAcentral. Lineage: Eukaryota; Metazoa; Chordata; Mammalia; Artiodactyla; Bovidae.